This 468-nucleotide ribosomal RNA is filed under the name uncultured bacterium. RNAcentral describes it as "partial 16S ribosomal RNA". It matches the Rfam family "Bacterial small subunit ribosomal RNA", at positions 28 to 507 of the family's 1533-position model. The record is from RNAcentral.
GACGAACGCUGGCGGCGUGCUUAACACAUGCAAGUCGAACGGUGAAGCUCCAGCUUGCUGGAGUGGAUCAGUGGCGAACGGGUGAGUAACACGUGAGCAACCUGCCCCAGACUCUGGAAUAAGCGCUGGAAACGGCGUCUAAUACUGGAUACGAGAUCAAGCCGCAUGGUUAUGGUCUGGAAAGUUUUUCGGUUUGGGAUGGGCUCGCGGCCUAUCAGCUUGUUGGUGAGGUAAUGGCUCACCAAGGCGACGACGGGUAGCCGGCCUGAGAGGGCGACCGGCCACACUGGGACUGAGACGCGGCCCAGACUCCUACGGGAGGCAGCAGUGGGGAAUAUUGCACAAUGGGCGAAAGCCUGAUGCAGCGACGCCGCGUGAGGGAUGACGGCCUUCGGGUUGUAAACCUCUUUCAGCAGGGAAGAAGCGAAAGUGACGGUACCUGCAGAAGAAGCACCGGCUAACUACGUG